UGAGUGAAGAAGGGUUUCGGCUCGUAAAGCUCUGUUGGUAGUGAAGAAAGAUGGAGGUAGUAACUGGCCUUUAUUUGACGGUAAAUACUUAGAAAGUCACGGCUAACUACGUGCCAGCAGCCGCGGUAAUACGUAGGUGGCAAGCGUGGUCCGGAUUUAUUGGGCGUAAAGCGAGUGCAGGCGGUUCAAUAAGUCUGAUGUGAAAGCCUUCGGCUCAACCGGAGAAUUGCAUCAGAAACUGUUGAACUUGAGUGCAGAAGAGGAGAGUGGAACUCCAUGUGUAGCGGUGGAAUGCGUAGAUAUAUGGAAGAACACCAGUGGCGAAGGCGGCUCUCUGGUCUGCAACUGACGCUGAGGCUCGAAAGCAUGGGUAGCGAACAGGAUUAGAUACCCUGGAAGUCCAUGCCGUAAACGAUGAGUGCUAAGUGUUGGGAGGUUUCCGCCUCUCAGUGCUGCAGCUAACGCAUUAAGCACUCCGCCUGGGGAGUACGACCGCAAGGUUGAAACUCAAAGGAAUUGACGGGGGCCCGCACAAGCGGUGGAGCAUGUGGUU
RNAcentral lists this ribosomal RNA (553 nucleotides) under Lactobacillus gasseri. RNAcentral's name for it is "bacterial SSU rRNA". It matches the Rfam family "Bacterial small subunit ribosomal RNA", at positions 402 to 946 of the family's 1533-position model. The record is from RNAcentral. Lineage: Bacteria; Bacillati; Bacillota; Bacilli; Lactobacillales; Lactobacillaceae.